GUUUCAUUAUGCGUAAUGUGAACGAGUUUCUAGUUUGACCAUUGGUCAAAAAGGACCGAUGCAAUUGAUGACAUGUUUCACAACUAGUAUGCUCUUAUUGCAUGGCUCGCCUCAACUUCGCAAACGUUUCCUUGAGUCUCAAACAUGUAGUCUCUAAUACAGCAAUCUACAUUCUUUUGGAGGACCCCAACAACAAACUGAAACAACAACACAACUUCUCCACUGACUGUUGACUUUAGCCAGAUUGGCGGAUGCAUCCGAGAAACCAUUCUACCUAAAAAGGAGAAAAAGGUUCCCAUAUAUAAAGGCAUAUCCAACAACAAAAACUCACUGUGUCGACAAAAUGAGAAGUGAAGAUGGAGGCUACGGUUACCUUGGAAAGUCAUUCAAGGGGCUUUACCUUGGGUGAAAACUUGGAGAAAAGAUGCCUUAGAGACCUCUCACUGUGUGGUUUAAAAGAAACAGCAAUCACCUUUUCCUGAAAUACAAGUUUGCCAAGGAGGUCUGGAAUUUGGUGCCUUUGACUAAUCUGUGCUUAAUCACACAGUCUUCAGACUUUGUGUCGGGUUUUCAGGGGAUAAAAUCCAUCUCUUGCCUACAUCCAACUGGGUAUCGAAUGGGAUCUAUCUUCCCUUGGGUUUGUUGGACGAUUUGGAUGGCAAGAAAUUCAAAAAGAAAAUUAAUACAGGGAGUAUUGACCAACUGAGACAAUCACUAAAGCCCUCCAUGAUGCCAGAGAAUGGCAGGAAGCUCAAACCGAAGAGUUUCAACAGAUCAACCACAAGCCGAUAGAGCAUGUAAGGACCAAUCCAUCUCGACCAAAUUUCAGUUUACACGAAUGCGGCAUGGAGUGAAGCGACCAACACAGCUGCAGGCCUGGCCUGCAUUUUCACCGACUGGCCAGGAAGGACUUUAUACAAAAUCAGCGCAAAGGAAGAUUUUAUAGCGGAGGGCUUGGCGUUAAGAACAGCUCUCUUGCAAGCUUCAGAACUCGGCAUGUCGAAACUCUCUUUGAAGUCAGACGUUCAAAAUCUCAUCAGAGCUAUCAAGGAGCUUUUUGGAAUUCUUCAUGACUUCAUGAUAUCCAUGAGCUUAAUUGUUCCUUUUCCUCAGUUUUUUUCUACGUUAUCCCUCGAAAAGACAAUAUCACUGCAGACUGUUUAGCCAAGGAGGCACUGAAUAACUCUUCUGACAUCUUGUAAACCUUUUAAUCUAUGAAUGCAUUUGCUGAUAAAAAAAAGGUUCCCUCACAAUGUUUUUUAAAAAUAUUUUACUGGGAACAAAAAUCUUUAAAUUAGUAGUUGAAAUAUGAAUAAAAAUAAUUUAUUCAAGAAAGUAUUUAUAGGAAAAGUUCUGGAAAAUACUAAGGGUGGGCAUUCGGGUUUAGUUCGAGUUUAUUUAGGUUUCAGGUUUUCACAGUUUAAGAUUUAUGUCCAUUUUGAAUAAUUAUAAAUUUCGGUUCGGUUUGGAUCAUUGCAGGUUUGGUUCGGGUUUGGUUUAAAAAAUAAAAAUAAAUUUAUAUAUGGUUUAAAUUUCUAAAUAUUUAAAAAUAAAAUAAUGUAUUACAUAUAAAUUUGAAUAAUGUAUGCCAAAAUAUCUAAACUUAACAUAUAAAUUGGUUUGGCUUGAAUAUGUUUGGAUAAAGAAUCAAUAUAUAUUUUAAGUAUUUUUGGUAUUGUGAGUAUUGUUUAGUUAAUUUAGAAAUUUACAUUCGAUUAUUUUAAAACUUUAAGUAUUGUGGACAACUUUAAAAUAUCUUAUACAUUUUUGGAGAUUUUUUUAAUAUAUUAAAUUAAAAAUAAAUAAUAUAUUUAAGUAUAUAUCCCUUAUAUAUUAAAGCACAAGUCAUUUGAUCAAUCAAAAUUUGACACUGUAAUUUCUUUACAAAGCCUUUAAAAAAAGUAAAAUGUUUUCAAAAAUUAAAAUUUAACAUAUUACAAAAAAAAUCAAAACUGUCUCACGUUCGUUUAGUUUUAUGUAACUGCAAAAGAAUGAAAUCAAAUGUCAUAAAGCAAUUUAUAAUCACACUUUCAUAUUGUAAUUAUAGCAAUUUUAUCAUUUGUGUAUUGAAUUUUUUUUUUCAUUGAACAACCAAUGCAAUAGUUAAUAAUUUCUUCUAUUAUACAUUUUGUAAUGAUAAUACAGUUAUGUGAGUUACAAAUAUAUUUAUGUAUAAAAGAUUGACAAAUAAAAACUCAUACUAAUAAAAUGGAUUUUUUUGAGGCUCCAUGGGAUAUCCACAUAAGCGAAAAAACUUCUCUCGAAAAAUACCACGUGGUAUUAUUACUAAAGAAUAAGUAAUAAAUAAUAAGUAAAAUAUAUAAUAUAAGGAAAAAUAAUAAUAAGUAAAUAUAUAAUACAAAAAAUAGAAAUAUUACAUUAAAAAUCUAUCAUAAUAUUAUCAUUUGAUAAAAGAAAUAAAAUUAGAAUAAGUAAAUAUAUAAUAUAAGAAAAAUAAGCAAAAAAUAAAUAUAAAAUUAAAAAACGAAAAAAACUAAA
Brassica rapa (field mustard) is the source of this 2499-nucleotide long non-coding RNA. RefSeq lists it as uncharacterized. NCBI's taxonomy places the organism in Eukaryota, Viridiplantae, Streptophyta, Magnoliopsida, Brassicales, Brassicaceae. The record is from RefSeq and is a predicted model, not a curated record.